Molecule: transfer RNA, 76 nt
Filed under: Candidatus Latescibacterota bacterium
Lineage: Bacteria; Pseudomonadati; Candidatus Latescibacterota
Description: tRNA-Trp
Rfam family: tRNA
About the family: Transfer RNA (tRNA) molecules are approximately 80 nucleotides in length. Their secondary structure includes four short double-helical elements and three loops (D, anti-codon, and T loops).
Source: RNAcentral
GGGUCAGUAGCUCAACUGGUAGAGCAUCGGUCUCCAAAACCGGUGGUUCCGGGUUCAAGUCCUGGCUGGCCUGCCA